This 222-nucleotide ribosomal RNA is filed under the name uncultured bacterium. RNAcentral's name for it is "partial 16S ribosomal RNA". It matches the Rfam family "Bacterial small subunit ribosomal RNA", at positions 524 to 746 of the family's 1533-position model. The record is from RNAcentral.
UACGUAGGGCGCAAGCGUGUCCGGAAUUAUUGGGCGUAAAGAGCUCGUAGGCGGUUUGUCGCGUCUGCUGUGAAAACCUAAGGCUCAACCUUGGGCUUGCAGUGGGUACGGGCAGACUAGAGUGCGGUAGGGGUGACUGGAAUUCCUGGUGUAGCGGUGGAAUGCGCAGAUAUCAGGAGGAACACCGAUGGCGAAGGCAGGUCACUGGGCCGCAACUGACGC